UUGAACGCUGGCGGCAGGCCUAACACAUGCAAGUCGCGCGGAUGAAGGGAGCUUGCUCCUGGAUUCAGCGGCGGACGGGUGAGUAAUGCCUAGGAAUCUGCCUGGUAGUGGGGGAUAACGUCCGGAAACGGGCGCUAAUACCGCAUACGUCCUGAGGGAGAAAGUGGGGGAUCUUCGGACCUCACGCUAUCAGAUGAGCCUAGGUCGGAUUAGCUAGUUGGUGGGGUAAAGGCCUACCAAGGCGACGAUCCGUAACUGGUCUGAGAGGAUGAUCAGUCACACUGGAACUGAGACACGGUCCAGACUCCUACGGGAGGCAGCAGUGGGGAAUAUUGGACAAUGGGCGAAAGCCUGAUCCAGCCAUGCCGAGUGUGUGAAGAAGGUCUUCGGAUUGUAAAGCACUUUAAGUUGGGAGGAAGGGCAGUAAGUUAAUACCUUGCUGUUUUGACGUUACCAACAGAAUAAGCACCGGCUAACUUCGUG
Molecule: ribosomal RNA, 483 nt
Filed under: uncultured bacterium
Lineage: Bacteria
Description: partial 16S ribosomal RNA
Rfam family: Bacterial small subunit ribosomal RNA
Source: RNAcentral